UGCUCUCCUUCCUCCCGCAGCGGGAGCUCCCGGCAGCGGGGCCGGGGCGCGGCGGCCGCGGGGCGCUGCAGGUGAGCGGGGCGGAAAGAACCCCGCACCAGUUUCCACACUGCAGAAUCCUGGUAAAAUGCAGUAAAGGAUUUAAGGUUAUCGUCUGUCUCUCUCUAACUUCUGACAUCUCUUUAUAACAAGAAAGAGUCACAGCCAACUGUAACAGGAGGGCAACACAAUGAAUCCUGUAUCCACAACUUUCACAUGGAGAGGUGCACAUCCGGUGGCCAGAUGUAGCUGCAGUCAGCUGUGGCCACUCCAAGCUGGAAAUGAGUGUCUGAGCAUCCUGCUCACUAAUCCUUCCACUGCAGUGCCUGUGUUCUGGCUGGUCUCUUGGCUUCUCAGCCAGAAGAAUAUCCUGAAGCAAAUUACUGUCAGAAGCCAAAAUAUGUAUCCAUAAUUCAUCCUAAAGCACUGUCAACUUAAUUUUAAAGUAAUUUUUCUGCUUUACGAGUUCAGACUGAAGUGGUGUUUUAUGAGAACAUGGAGCUGCAUGUCACAGUACCUUUUUUCCAUGGGUUAAGGGAGACUAUUCUAACAUUCCCAGCUUCUGCUGCCCAGGCAUUCUCUCUUUGUAAUUAGCAUGAAGACUACCCUUCAGUCAAAGCUAGCCACCUGGAAAGUUUCAGCUUGUAAUAUGCAGCUUUUUUUGUGAAUUAUGAAUGUGCAAAAAAGAGACCUUUCUCCUUACACCCACUUCCUUGCAUAAUUCAAAUAUGAAUGAAUGAAUUUUAUUCAGGCUUGCAAAAAAAAAAAAAAAAAAAAAAAAAAAAAAAAAAAAAAAAAAAUCAUAUUUCAGCUGAUAACAAGCAUGAAAAAUUUCAGAUGAAAGGGAUUUUUAUUAUUUUUUUAAAGAAUAUUCUGAGCAUGGAAGAACAGCAGGUUAAGACAAAAGUCUCAGUGCAGCCUUUACUAUAAUAAUUGCUAUCAAGCAAAUAUUGUAUCCAAGCACUAAAUCUUGCUUUGUACUGCCCUGGUGCACAGUAGCAGGGACAGAGUAGAAUAAUAAAAGCUGGUCCCCUUAUGCAAACAGCAGGGCACAGCACUUGACAGACAAGAAGAAGGUGAGCUUGCCUACUGUUCUGACUUGCUAAGUGUUCUAACUUGCUGACUUCCCAAGGCCUGUGGGUUAGUUGUCACCUCUAGCUCUAGUCAGACAGCAAAAGGUACUUCACACACUAGCAAAGUGAAUGUUUUGGUCCUUUCCAGAAGAACAUUUUACCAAUUCCUUGCCUCCAAAUGUACUGUUUUAUUAAAUAAAGUAUUUGAAGGAAUUUGUGUAAACAACAUCAUGGUUCAAGGGGUCAAAAAGGGAAAGGAAUCAGUAUUAGGCAUUUUUCUGAUUAACCGUGUAUUUUAAAAAUAUCUGUGAAGAAGUUAUUAUCUGCACAAAGCAGAAUGAGAUUUGAGCUCAUGCCAGUACCACUUUGAAAAUAAACUAUCACAGUGAAGAAACGUUACCAUCUGGAACAGUUCUGCAUCGCAUUUUCUCAUGUUCCUAAUAAUGCUUUGGUGAUAAGUCCAGCUCUCCUUUUCUACUCAGAAAACAGAAUUAAAACUACCAUUCAUUUACUAUGUGCUUUUUUUUUAAAAUGCCCAUUACAGUAGUGAAUGCUAAAGUAUUACCUUGCAGAUGCACAGAUCCACAUUGAUUAGAAGACAGGACUUGCAAAUGGCAAGCCUAGACAUAAAAAAUCCCCUUCCAGUCUGACGUGAGUUGACUGUUGCAAGUUGAGCUUGGCAGCGAGUGACCAAAAUUGAGUUGUCAGCAUCCUCCUGAAUAGUGGAAGAA
Oenanthe melanoleuca is the source of this 1843-nucleotide long non-coding RNA. RefSeq lists it as uncharacterized. The record is from RefSeq and is a predicted model, not a curated record. The transcript has 6 exons. Lineage: Eukaryota; Metazoa; Chordata; Aves; Passeriformes; Muscicapidae.